This 479-nucleotide ribosomal RNA is filed under the name uncultured bacterium. RNAcentral's name for it is "bacterial SSU rRNA". It matches the Rfam family "Bacterial small subunit ribosomal RNA", at positions 28 to 507 of the family's 1533-position model. The record is from RNAcentral.
GACGAACGCUGGCGGCGUGCCUAACACAUGCAAGUCGAGCGGAGUCGAUCGACGGAAGCCUUCGGGCGGAAGAUGGUUGACUUAGCGGCGGAUGGGUGAGUAACGCGUGGGCAACCUGCCUCGAAGACCGGGAUAACAGUCCGAAAGGGCUGCUAAUACCGGAUGUGGUCAAGGAUCCGCAUGGAUUUUUGAUUAAAGGGGAAACCCGUUUCGAGAUGGGCCCGCGUCCUAUCAGCUAGUUGGUGAGGUAAAAGCUCACCAAGGCGACGACGGGUAGCCGGCCUGAGAGGGUGACCGGCCACACUGGGACUGAGACACGGCCCAGACUCCUACGGGGGGCAGCAGUGGGGGAUCUUGCACAAUGGGCGAAAGCCUGACCCAGCGACGCCGCGUGGAGGAAGAAGUCCUUCGGGCGUAAACUCCUGGACUGGGGACGAGGAAGGACGGUACCCCAGGUAGAAGGGACGGCUAACUACGUG